CCUGUGACAUGGGGUCAGGUGUUAUGCAGUGCCGCAGACAGUGCCAUGUGAUGCCAGGCAGUGUUCAUAGUGGCAUAGAUUUGUGUGGUGCCAGAAUCAGUGUGAUGCCAGUCAUUGGUGCCAGGGACGGUAUAUGUAUAGAAUAACACCCAGGUGACCCUAGGACAAAGCUUUAUUUUUCUCCCUCACUCCCCUCAAUGUUACCAGCUUACCGUAGGCAUAACAUUGUAUUUUUCUGUUUCUGGCCCGUAAAUAUUGCAAAAAAGAGCAUCAGUAAUUACCGAAUUUAACAAUAAUUAUAAAUGCAUAUUGUUAUCUUUAUGGGGCGAUAGUUUGGGGUCAGUAAAGACAAUACGCCAAGUACUACUACAGCCUGGUAGCCCUAAACUACCACUUGAGCCAGCUAAACGUAAUAUAUGGAGGAGAAAAGAGAAUAAAUGAACCCGUGGACAUACCCACAACUCCUGUGAAAGCCUUGGCAAAUAUGUGUAGGCCUACUUGUGUGCCAACAUAUGGAAGAGCAUGGGCCUAACUUUUCUUCUUCCUCCUCAGGUUUUGGGCGCCCAGCCGUACACGUGAACUAACAGUCUUGGCUUCAGGGCAGGUCGCUAAAAUGGGGAGAAGACAGGAGGAGGAGGAGAGAAGGAGGAGGAGGAGGAGGAAGAGGAGGAGGAGUGCCUGAUCCAGCAAGGUGAUUCACUGUCCGUCCACCCUCAGGAAAGACCUUUGAGAUCCAGCUCCGGAAAACGUCGAAAGGAAGAACCAAAGGAAGGAAGGAAGACCAUCUCAGAAGACCCCAGAGUCAGCCCCUACAGUCCAUCAUAGUCCAAGAAAUAGCUGAAGGAAGUCCCAAGUCCAAGCAACCUUCCUUUCUUUCUGAUUCAAGUCGUCUUUACCUUCAGCGAGGGGGCAAGGCGACCAUGGACCUCUCCCUUCCCUUCCCUUCCUUCCUUCCUUUCCUUUCCCUUCCCUUUCCUUCCCCUUCCCUUCCUGUCCCUUCCCUUCCCUUCCUGUCCCUUCCCCUCCCUGUCAUCAGCCACACAGUGUCUGCCAUCCAUGUCUUGCAGCAGGCCAGCCAUUCUGACUUGCUCUUCCUUCCAAGCAAGCAGUCACUCUCCUCAGCACAUGACCCAGAAGCUUCACUUGUCCUAUGCUUUUCAUCAAGUGCCUGGCUGUCUGCUGCUGCUCUUUGUCAUAGAGUUAAGUUGUCAUUAUCUUAGUUAGUUAGUUAGUUAGAGGUCCAGAUAAUUGUUGUAUGGGCAAGACUCCUGUCCCUCCCUCUCCUUCCCUCCCUUCCUCUCCACCUGUCCCCCAAGUUCCCAGUCUGUGGAGGUCCAAAUAAUUGUUGUAUGGGCAAGACUCCUGUCCCUCCCUCUCCUUCCCUCCCUUCCUCUCCCUCUCCCCCAAGUUCCCAGUCUGCAGAGGUCCAGAUAAUUGUUGUAUGGGCAAGACUCCUGUCCCUCCCUCUCCUUCCCUCCCUUCCUCUCCACCUGUACCCCAAGUUCCCAGUCUGCAGAGGUCCAGAUAAUUGUUGUAAGGGCAAGACUCCUGUCCCUCCCUCUCCUUCCCUCCCUUCCUCUCCACCUGUUCCCCAAGUUCCCAGUCUGCAGAGGUCCAGAUAAUUGUUGUAUGGGCAAGACUCCUGUCCCUCCCUCUCCUUCCCUCCCUUCCUCUCCACCUGUCCCCCAAGUUCCCAGUCUGCAGAGGUCCAGAUAAAUGUUGUAAGGGCAAGACUCCUGUCCCUCCC
Molecule: long non-coding RNA, 1747 nt
Organism: Eriocheir sinensis (Chinese mitten crab)
Lineage: Eukaryota; Metazoa; Arthropoda; Malacostraca; Decapoda; Varunidae
Exons: 4
Source: RefSeq, a predicted model, not a curated record